UACCUGGUUGAUUCUGCCAGUAUUCAUAUGCUUGUCUCAAAGAUUAAGCCAUGCAUGUCUAAGUAUAAGCAACUUUGUACUGUGAAACUGCGAAUGGCUCAUUAAAUCAGUUAUAGUUUAUUUGAUGGUUUUUGCUACAUGGAUAACUGUGGUAAUUCUAGAGCUAAUACAUGCAUUCAAGCCCCGACUUCUGGAAGGGGUGUAUUUAUUAGAUAAAAAUCAACUUUGUUGGUGAAUCAUAAUAACUUCUCGGACCGCAUGGCCUCGUGCUGGCGGUGCUUCAUUCAAAUAUCUGCCCUAUCAACUGUCGAUGGUAGGAUAGAGGCCUACCAUGGUUGCAACGGGUAACGGGGAAUAAGGGUUCGAUUCCGGAGAGGGAGCCUGAGAAACGGCUACCACAUCCAAGGAAGGCAGCAGGCGCGCAAAUUACCCAAUCCCAACACGGGGAGGUAGUGACAAUAUGUAACAAUAUACGGCCUUAUACGUCGUAUAAUUGGAAUGAGUACAAUUUAAAUCCCUUAACGAGGAACAAUUGGAGGGCAAGUCUGGUGCCAGCAGCCGCGGUAAUUCCAGCUCCAAUAGCGUAUAUUAAAGUUGUUGCAGUUAAAAAGCUCGUAGUUGGACCUUGGACCUGGACAGGCGGUCCGCCUCACGGAGAGUACUGUCUUGCUGGGUCUUUCCUCUUGGAGAUCUGUUGUUUCGGCAGCAGGGAACCAGGACCUUUACUUUGAAAAAAUUAGAGUGUUCAAAGCAGGCUCGACGCCGGAAUAUAUUAGCAUGGAAAUAUGAAAUACGACCUGCGGUUCUAUUUUGUUGUUUUUUGGAUCGCCGUAAUGAUUAAUAGGGACAAUCGGGGGCAAUUAGACUCACUUGCAAAAGGUGAAAUUCUGGAUUUGUGAAGACUUACUUCUGCGAAAUCUUUUGCCAGGAUGUUUUCUUAGUCCGAACGAAGGUUAGGGAUCAAAACGAUUUAUACCUUGUAUUUUAACGGAACCAUGCCACCAGGAACGGACAUUUUACCUUUGGGACCAUCGGCCCUAGGAAAAUGGGAAUUUUGGGAUUUGGGGUAUUGGUAUCCAGGGUAAAUUUAAAAAUUUACAAAUGACCACUGAGUGAAGCGCUCCUAAUGA
RNAcentral lists this ribosomal RNA (1130 nucleotides) under uncultured fungus. Its description in RNAcentral is "SSU rRNA". It matches the Rfam family "Eukaryotic small subunit ribosomal RNA". Lineage: Eukaryota; Fungi. The record is from RNAcentral.